This 328-nucleotide ribosomal RNA is filed under the name uncultured bacterium. Its description in RNAcentral is "bacterial SSU rRNA". It matches the Rfam family "Bacterial small subunit ribosomal RNA", at positions 30 to 355 of the family's 1533-position model. The record is from RNAcentral.
AUUGAACGCUGGCGGAAUGCCUUACACAUGCAAGUCGAACGGCAGCACGGGAGCAAUCCUGGUGGCGAGUGGCGAACGGGUGAGUAAUACAUCGGAACGUGCCCAACUCGUGGGGGAGUAACGUAGCGAGAGCUACGCUAAUACCGCAUACGAUCUACGGAUGAAAGCAGGGGACUCGCAAGAGCCUUGCGCGAAUGGAGCGGCCGAUGGCAGAUAGGUAGUUGGUGGGGUAAAGGCUCACCAAGCCUUCGAUCUGUAGCUGGUCUGAGAGGACGACCAGCCACACUGGGACUGAGACACGGCCCAGACUCCUACGGGAGGCAGCAGU